Molecule: long non-coding RNA, 592 nt
Filed under: Helianthus annuus (common sunflower)
Lineage: Eukaryota; Viridiplantae; Streptophyta; Magnoliopsida; Asterales; Asteraceae
Description: sRNA HanXRQr2_Chr16g0739151
Source: RNAcentral
GUAAUUCAUCCUUUAAUACCGUAAAUUAAACCUAACAUUAAGAUAUUUAAUACCAACGAAACGUUGGCAUAACAAAAAAUUUCAUUCCAGAUUGGCAGUGAAAACGGUUGCUUUCCCCACAAGCAAAGUAAUACGGCUUCCAUUUGUUUAGCGCAAACUCAAAUCCCUCUCCUCCACCUUGUGACGUGUUUGCCACACGUUUUGCCCAUCUUAAGUCGCACCUCAGAAAGCUCCACAGACUUGGGAACAAAUAAACGCUAUGGGGAUGUAUAUUGGUUUCGCUAGGUGGAUCGAAUUUGAACACUUAUCAUUGAAAAAGAAUGGAGCAUUUGUCCUAGCCCAUUCAGUGUAAUUGAAACCAAAACGCCAAUUAUCAGAUCCACCAACAAUGAUUCGUCUAGAACCCUGAACAGGUUUCGGAUAUGUAAAUGGCUCAUUGGUAUAGUUGAACUCAAAUUUCCAAUUUUGUGGUCCCUUUUGGAAAUCCGGGUUGCUUGACCCAAAUGCGAAUAGUGUAAUAAUUAUGGUUAUCAAGAGUAGCAAUUGCGUACGUGUCAAAGCCAUUUUACUUGCAGUUUGAGUUUUCUCAAAU